ACUUGAACUUCGGUUUGGGUGGCGGACGGGUGAGUAACGCGUAAAGAACUUGCCUCACAGACUGGGACAACAUCUGGAAACGGAUGCUAAUACCGGAUAUUAUGAUUUUAGUGCAUGCUAGAAUUAUGAAAGCUAUAUGCGCUGUGAGAGAGCUUUGCGUCCCAUUAGCUAGUUGGAGAGGUAACGGCUCACCAAGGCGAUGAUGAGUAGCCGGCCUGAGAGGGUGAACGGCCACAAGGGGACUGAGACACGGCCCUUACUCCUACGGGAGGCAGCAGUGGGGAAUAUUGGACAAUGGACCGAGAGUCUGAUCCAGCAAUUCUGUGUGCACGAUGAAGUUUUUCGGAAUGUAAAGUGCUUUCAGUUGGGAAGAAAAAAAUGACGGUACCAACAGAAGAAGUGACGGCUAAAUACGUGCCAGCAGCCGCGGUAAUACGUAUGUCACAAGCGUUAUCCGGAUUUAUUGGGCGUAAAGCGCGUCUAGGCGGCUAUGUAAGUCUGAUGUGAAAAUGCGGGGCUCAACUCCGUAUUGCGUUGGAAACUGUGUAGCUAGAGUAUCGGAGAGGUAAGCGGAACUACAAGUGUAGAGGUGAAAUUCGUAGAUAUUUGUAGGAAUGCCGAUGGGGAAGCCAGCUUACUGGACGAAUACUGACGCUAAAGCGCGAAAGCGUGGGUAGCAAACAGGAUUAGAUACCCUGGUAGUCCACGCUGUAAACGAUGAUUACUAGGUGUUGGGGGUCGAAC
This 744-nucleotide ribosomal RNA is filed under the name uncultured Fusobacterium sp. RNAcentral describes it as "bacterial SSU rRNA". It matches the Rfam family "Bacterial small subunit ribosomal RNA", at positions 66 to 835 of the family's 1533-position model. Lineage: Bacteria; Fusobacteriati; Fusobacteriota; Fusobacteriia; Fusobacteriales; Fusobacteriaceae. The record is from RNAcentral.